UGAGUUACUAGUUGGCCCACAAUUGC
This 26-nucleotide non-coding RNA is filed under the name Bombyx mori (domestic silkworm). Lineage: Eukaryota; Metazoa; Arthropoda; Insecta; Lepidoptera; Bombycidae. The record is from RNAcentral.